AUAUCUCUCUGUACGGGAAGGAUGAGAAGCUUCGACCAAGGUUCGAUUCGAGCGCAGCGAGAAAGCGUUGCCGCAGGCAACGACCCGAAGGGCGAAGCGCGCAGCGCUGAGUCAUCCUUCCCCC
RNAcentral lists this small RNA (124 nucleotides) under Salmonella enterica. Its description in RNAcentral is "partial RtT sRNA". It matches the Rfam family "RtT RNA". Rfam says of the family: This family represents a bacterial cis-regulatory element known as RtT RNA. The exact function of RtT is unknown although it is thought that it may be involved in changing the cellular response in relation to amino acid starvation. The record is from RNAcentral. Lineage: Bacteria; Pseudomonadati; Pseudomonadota; Gammaproteobacteria; Enterobacterales; Enterobacteriaceae. RNAcentral also lists the same sequence under 1 other name.